Molecule: unclassified non-coding RNA, 821 nt
Filed under: uncultured Stereum
Lineage: Eukaryota; Fungi; Basidiomycota; Agaricomycetes; Russulales; Stereaceae
Description: sequence contains ITS1, 5.8S rRNA gene and ITS2
Rfam family: 5.8S ribosomal RNA (bases 300-453)
Source: RNAcentral
AAGUCGUAACAAGGUUUCCGUAGGUGAACCUGCGGAAGGAUCAUUAUUGAAUGAACUUGGUCGGGCUGAUGCUGGUCUCUCCUUGGAGGGGCAUGUGCACGCCUGGCACCAUCUUCUUUUACCACCUGUGCACCUUUUGUAGACUGUGGGGACUACCUUUCCGAGGUCAAACUCGGUUGAAAGGAUUGCUGAUGCCAGCUUUCCUUUGCCUGUCUUCUUGUCUAUGCCUUUUUUUUUUUAUCACAAAUGUAUGACAAUGAAUGUUAUGUUGGGCAUUAUUGCCUUUAAAAACCUAAUACAACUUUCAACAACGGAUCUCUUGGCUCUCGCAUCGAUGAAGAACGCAGCGAAAUGCGAUAAGUAAUGUGAAUUGCAGAAUUCAGUGAAUCAUCGAAUCUUUGAACGCACCUUGCGCUCCUUGGUAUUCCGAGGAGCAUGCCUGUUUGAGUAUCAUGAAAUUCUCAACCUUGCUUUUGCAUCUGUGAAAUCAAGGUUGGAUUGUGGGGGACUUUUUUGCAGGCUUCAAAUCGAAGUCUGCUCUCCUGAAAUAUAUUAGCAGAGUUGCAUGAACAGCUUUUUAUUGGUGUGAUAAUCAUCUAUGCCAUGGGCUGUGAAAGCGAGUUUGCCUUCCAAUUUUAACAUCCGUUAUUCAUGACUUUUUGAUCUCAAAUCAGGUAGGACUACCCGCUGAACUUAAGCAUAUCAAUAAGCGGAGGAAAAGAAACUAACAAGGAUUCCCCUAGUAACUGCGAGUGAAGCGGGAAGAGCUCAAAUUUAAAAUCUGGCAAUCCUUGUGGUUGUCCGAGUUGUAAUCUAGAGAA